ACAAAUGAGUAAAAAGAGUGCAAGUUCACCUAUAUAUACUCCCAAAACACUAUUCAUAUCAGAUUGUAGUUCAGGUACAGAUAUUUUUCGUCUGCCCUUCUGAACGUCCGAUUGAGCUCAAAUUUGGCAGUCACGAUCAGUUUAACCUUACUUAAUGAAAGAAAUUUUAAUCUUUCAGUUUCGACCCCGUUUGGUCACCGAAAGCUGUACCGAACUGUAAUCUUUAUCAGAUAACUGUCGGAUUUUAUUUUCCACCUUCCGGGUGUCAGAAUGGCAUGAAACUUUAAAUCUAGCCUCAUAAAAAUAAUCCUAACGUAUUCCCAAAUUUUCGAAAUUUUCUGACACCGUGCAUUUUCUACUAAAAUAUCAGUUCGGUCUCACAUAGAAAAUUCUCAAUCUUCUAUUUUCACUCCGAUUUCUGCACGAGUCAAUCCUGAUGUAUAAUUUACUUGUCUAAGUCCAAUAAAAAUAGUAUCUCACACUAUUUUUAUUUAUAUUCACUUUUAAUAAAAAAAAUCCGGUAUGCUACAUUCUCCACCUCUUAAAAAGAGUUUCGUCCUCGAAACUUCAAUCACACCUCAACUCGACCUAUCGAGCCAUAAAUACUAUCUUCCCCAGUAAUUACCCGGUUUUAGGUAAGGGGAUAAUCAACACAACCAGCGAAAAUAAAUCCUCAAACCACACUAUUUCGUGCACAAAAAAAAAUUCUCAAGGCGAGUCAAGUCAGCUCGCAAUCCAAGAGUACUACGUACCCACAACAACUCCAACAUCAAACAAGGCCAAUCCAUUUGUUGGCACACAAAACCAUCUCACGUGGUAGGGUAUUCGAGGCGACACACCUGAUCAACAGAUCAUCCUACAAGCGUCGAAAAAGUUCAACGGUAACAAAAUCCUCGGGUUGGGUCACCACACACUCGGUGUAUCCUCGAUCUCACGAUCCAACACGUGGCAUUCCACGCUCCAAAGUCAAAGCUCGGACUACCGUCCUGACCAAACUCUCUGCCCCACCCGUAGGUACCGGCUCGCUGUCACACACAGCUGACUGCGCCUGCCCAAAGGGCCCAGGCUCCACAGUCCACAAACGGUCCAGGCACGGUCGUCUCCAAGCACCAUCCGGCGAACAGCCGAACACGGGAUGCAACUAAUGCAAUCAUCGUGUGAUUCACAAGGCAUAGGAAAACAUGCCACCCACAACCCGCAAAUCAACCGCCUAGCUCAAGAGAGCUGAAAGUCAUCGCAAACAGCGAGCUCUGGCAUCCUCGGUACACAACCUCCUCUUGUCCCAAAUAGGGCGACAAGGCAAACUCUCUAAUGUCCAAGGAGUGGUCGGAGAAACACGCGUCUCGUAAGCAACAGAUCUAAAAGGAUGCCAUGCAACUCGGCAAACAGCCGAUCGAAGGAUGCAAAUAAUGCAACGAUAUCCAACAAUGCACAAUUCGGAUGUCACAAAACAACUGAUACCUGUAGCCACCAACUCGGCUGCUGCCGCCUCCGCGGUCUGGGCCGCAUACAUGCGCCCGCUCGGGGCCUGUCGGGACCCCUCCGUCUACCUCUGAAUAGGUGGCUGCCUGGCCUGGUAGCGAGCAGCAGGCGUUCCCUGGCUGGGACCCGGUAAAACUGGUGCCGAUGCUGAAGAGGGCGCUGGUACUAAACCGCUCGGGCAGUCCGACUGAAAGUGACCCUCUUGGCCACAUAAGUAACACCUGCCCUGCCUCUGCGAGCACUGCCGUGGGUAAUGACGACCACCGCAGAUCACGCAGCUCAGAGUCUGACAAUGCUCAGAUCCUCCAUGUUGUUCUGAUCUGCCCCGUCCUCGCGACCGGCUCCUAUUCAUGGGAUGUCUCGGCGGCCUCCCAAAGUGUGUCGGACUCGCACCCUCGGCCGCGGACCUUUUGCCCUUUUCUUUUUUCCAAGCCCUCUCGGCGCUCCUGCAAGUCUGUCGCGCCGCUCUCCACGAUGAGCGCGCGAUUCACCACCUCCCGGUAGGUUUGGAGGUUGGAAGACUGAACAAAUCGGAAGAUCAAAGGCCGCAAUCCCCGCUCAAAGAUGCGGGCCUUAUCCUCGUCGUCCCGAACAACGAAGGGUACACAAUGUAGAAGCCGGGAGAACUCCCUCUCAUACUCGGCCACUGUCCUGUCCCCCUGGCGCACGUUGCGCAGAUCCUGCUCCAUCUUCCUCUUGACGCUGUCAGGGAAGUAAUGCUCCAGUAGGAGUUCCUUGAACUUCCUCCAUGUGAUCGCCGUCAGAUCUGUGCAGGGGUCGUCCUGAAUGUCCAUCCACCAUCGGUACGCCUCGCCGUCAAGGUGAUGUGUGGCGAGCCACACUCUGUCCCGCUCCUCGACAAAGGUAUCCCUAAACAGCUUCUCCAUGGUAGCCGCCUGCUGUAGUAGCACGCCACAUCUACCUGCUGCUGAGCCGUAGCCGCCUGCUGGGUAACUAAGUCGGUAAGGGCCGCAAGCUGGCCUCUCAACUCACGGACCUUGCCGGAUCCGGAAGUAGCGGAGGUCUCCACCUCCUCAAAGUGUGCCGCAUAAUCCGCUCCGACAGACUGGGAGCGUGUAAUCGGCAUCGCAUUACAACAUCAUAUAAGCGCAAGUUAAUGAAACCCACGCUAUCGUAUCCCCGCUCAACUAACCCAUACCCAAAUAAUGCGAAAGUAAGGAAGUGUCUUAUACUACUAACUCCCGAUAUUACGUUGUCGGCCGCCAACGUAACCCUCCGCGAAGUUAGAGGCUAUACACUUCAGUUUAACUCCACUUUCUAGAGCUGUUCCAAGAUACCCAAUCGAGAUACUUUCGCUUACAUGUCAAAUAGACCUCGUCUCUCACGAGCCUAUUUCCUAUAGUCCAACCAGCCUAAGGUUUGCCAGGUCCCCUAAGACUCAACCCUAGGCUCUGAUACCAAACUAAUCUGUCACGCCCCGGGACCAGCGUAGGCCCGCCCGGUGCGUGCCCCAGACCCGCCAUAUGCCUGCACAUAUAAGGCGUCUACAACGAUAGCGAAUUAAAGAACAAUAAAUAGAGAAUAUCUAGAGAUAUCAGAGCAAUUAUACAGCUAGGUUCUAUCAACCAGUAGAAACCACAGAAGCUAGACUACUAAAGUAAAAAGUAAAGUAGUACAUCAUAAGUCUCAAAAUACAAAUAGUGGGUGGUCUCUACAAAAUGGUACAAGUCUCUCAACCUCUCCAAAAGAAACAAAAGAGAUGUAGACUACCGAUCCACCAAUCCCUCGCUAGCUAACUCGAGGCGAUUCCUUUCCCGCGAUCCCAAGCCUCUCCUGGGGUGGAAGGCUCUGAAUGAAAACAUAAAACAGAGGGCGUGAGAACGAUAAUUUAUAGUUCCCAGUGAGCAAUUACUGACCUUAAUUAGCAAAAAGCUCCACUAGGCCCAAGUCAAGAGCAGAUAUAGAUAACGAAAUAACAACUGCGGAAAUAUAAGCAUAUAUUGAAAUGCUAUUCUACUAUGCCACAAGUAUACAUGAUAUGAACGUGGAGUACAUUUACUCUAUCAUGAAUCCAAUAUGCCGAUGCAUAACAGGUAUGCCCUACAAUGGCUACCCAAAAGCUGUGACGCAACAAGUAAUACUACGAAGUAUACUAUCGUGGCAAUUAAGGAUACCACAAUUCCCAAUGUCAACAGAAUCCAACCACGAUACACAAUCAAAUAGUGUUUAUCACUUAUUGUUUACUGUUCUAGUCAAUGUCCACGUGGCACUUUAACUAUUUAAAGUUCAACUCUGAUAAGACCCACCCGAAGGCUGUCUGGCGUGAGACCCACCCGAAAGCUGUCUGGUAUGAGACCCACCCGAAGGCUGUCUGAAGUAUCAAGUCCUCAUGUCGAAAACAUGGAAUUACUCACUAGCAACCCAUAGGUCUAGUCUAUGCCUCAAGUGAAGGUUUACUAUGUCAAUGAUUCCAAUGUCCUAUGUGACCUUAGAUUUACUAAGUCCAUACGUAUUCCAAGCCUAAUGCCUCUUUACGGCAUUAGCUUACUACACCAAUUCCAAGCCCAAUGUCUCUUUAUGACAUUAGCUUACUAGGUUCAUACAUGUCCCAAGCUCAAUGUCGCUUUAUGACAUUAGCUUAAUAUACCAGUAAUAGGAUAAUACGCAUGCUCUCUAGCAUUAUCUCACAUUGCUAAUAUGUAUCUAGCAUGCAUUCCUCAAUGCAUAUAAAUAUUAAUAUGCAUCUAUUCACUAACAUAUGGUUUCAAUGCAUCCGUAUACAACUAUCAAUAUAGCAUAGUUCUCAUAAUGCUACAUGCAUACACUUUCCAAUGCAACUACCAACUUAGCAUAAUUCUCAUAAUAUUAACAUGCACAUACAAUUCACAUAUCAUUCAAAUCUAAUGCCUCUCUAUGGCCUUACUUUGCUAGGCUUAUUUAUAGCUCAAGCUCGAUGUCGCAUUACGACAUUAGUUCCCUAACUCACAAGUUAUUCAAAUCCAAAGCCACUUUAUGGCCUAAUGCAUUCUCCUAUGUCCAAUGAGCUUUAUGUCCAAGACAUGUUACAUUUGUCAUGUCUACUAUAUGAAGCAUGAUUCCAAGUCCCAAUUAGAAUGCUAAACCCAUGCAUAAGUCUCAGUUGCAAGCUCUCUACUACAUAGAGGUCCGAAAAUGUAUUGUAUAUAACAUAAGCAUUUCAAGCAUUCUAAAAUUCACAAAUAAUGCGUCUAUCAUGAAAAUGCGUGAUUUUCCAUUUUACAAUACUUAAAUCCACAUAAAUGAGAUUUUUCUCAUUUGUAGCGAGGUCAAACCCACCAAGAGCUCCACACGACCCUUCGUGCCUGCGACUCUCUUAGCUCCAAGACUUUAGGUGAUGUCACGAUGCUACAAUUCCGGUUUCGUGAUUUUUGGAAGCUUACGUCGCGAGCUGCGACAAUCUGUACCGAAAUCGGCCUUUUCUUCAAUAUCUUCGCGUAGCCUCGUCGUAUCGCCGAACCGACUUCGCCAACGCGUCAGAAAACCUAGCAAUUAGGUUUAUACAUGCUCAAUUUAGAUCAAACCUCUACAUAUUGCAAAACCCCAAUUUGAGCCUUAACAUGCUACUAUUGCAAGAAAUCACCAAAUUGGAACUUGAUUCAUGCAAUUAACAUGUUAUUAGCAUCUAGGGAGUUCUCUAAACCCAUUCCUAGAGCAUAUGAAUCAUUCCUUAGCAAUCUACCAUAGUUACUACCAAAGCUUACUUCCAAAGCUUUCUCUAAUAGAGAGGAAGAAGAUGAAAGCUUGAGCUCCAAGCUACUUUCCAACUUUAAAGGAUUCUACUCCAACUUCUUCUCCAAUUAAUUCUCUUUUGUGGAGAGAUUAGAAGAGAAAAGGAGUGAGGGGUGAGAACUAGAGAGAAAGAGAGAAAAAGAGAAAACAAACUUGCUCUCCAAGUCUCUCUCUCGGGUUGGGCACAAAUGAGAAAAAAGAGUGCAAGUUCUCCUAUAUAUACUCCCAAAACACUAUUCAUAUCAGAUUGUAGUUCAGGUACAGAAAUUUUUCGUCUGCCCUUCUGAACGUCCGAUUGAGCUCAAAUUUGGCAGUCACGAUCAGUUUAACCUUACUUAAUGAAAGAAAUUUUAAUCUUUCAGUUUCGACCCCGUUUGGUCACCGAAAGCUGUACCGAACUGUAAUCUUUAUCAGAUAACUGUCGGAUUUUAUUUUCCACCUUCCGGGUGUCAGAAUGGCAUGAAACUUUAAAUCUAGCCUCAUAAAAAUAAUCCUAACGUAUUCCCAAAUUUUCGAAAUUUUCUGACACCGUGCAUUUUCUACUAAAAUAUCAGUCCGGUCUCACACAGAAAAUUCUCAAUCUUCUAUUUUCACUCCGAUUUCCGCACGAGUCAAUCCUGAUAUAUAAUUUACUUGUCUAAGUCCAAUAAAAAUAGUAUCUCACACUAUUUUUAUUUAUAUUCACUUUUAAUAAAAAAAAUCCGGUAUGCUACACGCCGAUG
This 5933-nucleotide long non-coding RNA is filed under the name Ananas comosus (pineapple). RNAcentral describes it as "long non-coding RNA (ACOM_LNC039514)". The record is from RNAcentral. Lineage: Eukaryota; Viridiplantae; Streptophyta; Magnoliopsida; Poales; Bromeliaceae.